UAAGACGUAGGAGGCGAGCGUUAUCCGGAUUUACUGGGCGUAAAGCGGGCGUAGGCGGCCUUUCAAGUCGGAUGUGAAAUCUCCCGGCUUAACUGGGAGGGGUCAUUCGAAACUGUUGGGCUAGAGGACAGCAGAGGGAAGUGGAAUUCCCGGUGUAGUGGUGAUAUGCGUAGAUAUCGGGAGGAACACCAGUGGCGAAGGCGGCUUCCUGGGCUGUUGCUGACGCUGAGGCCCUAAAGCGUGGGGAGCGAACAGGAUUAGAUACCCUGGUAGUCCAUGCUGUAGACUAUGGACACUAGGUAUGGGGAGUAUCGACCCUCUCUGUGCCGAAGCUAACGCUUUAAGUGUCCCGCCUGGGGACUACGGCCGCAAGGCUA
Molecule: ribosomal RNA, 377 nt
Filed under: uncultured Chloroflexota bacterium
Lineage: Bacteria; Bacillati; Chloroflexota
Description: bacterial SSU rRNA
Rfam family: Bacterial small subunit ribosomal RNA
Source: RNAcentral